RNAcentral lists this ribosomal RNA (426 nucleotides) under uncultured prokaryote. RNAcentral's name for it is "bacterial SSU rRNA". It matches the Rfam family "Bacterial small subunit ribosomal RNA", at positions 355 to 796 of the family's 1533-position model. The record is from RNAcentral.
UGGGGAAUUUUCCGCAAUGGGCGAAAGCCUGACGGAGCAACGCCGCGUGAGGGAGGAAUGCCUGUGGGUUGUAAACCUCUUUUCUCAGGGAAGAAUUUUUGACGGUACCUGAGGAAUCAGCAUCGGCUAACUCCGUGCCAGCAGCCGCGGUAAGACGGAGGAUGCAAGCGUUAUCCGGAAUUAUUGGGCGUAAAGCGUCCGUAGGCGGUUGUAAAAGUCUGCUGUUAAAGCCCACAGCUCAACUGUGGAUGGGCAGUGGAAACUGUAUGACUAGAGCAUGGUAGGGGUAGAGGGAAUUCCUAGUGUAGCGGUGAAAUGCGUAGAUAUUAGGAAGAACACCAGUGGCGAAGGCGCUCUACUGGGCCAUGACUGACGCUGAUGGACGAAAGCUAGGGGAGCGAAAGGGAUUAGAUACCCCCGUAGUCC